RNAcentral lists this ribosomal RNA (739 nucleotides) under Methanocalculus sp. AMF-Cr1. Its description in RNAcentral is "bacterial SSU rRNA". It matches the Rfam family "Archaeal small subunit ribosomal RNA", at positions 122 to 866 of the family's 1478-position model. The record is from RNAcentral. Lineage: Archaea; Methanobacteriati; Methanobacteriota; Methanomicrobia; Methanomicrobiales; Methanocalculaceae.
AGGAAUAAUCCCGGGAAACUGGGGCUAAUGCCUCAUAGGAGACGGGUGCUGGAAUGCUCUGUCUCUGAAAGGUCCGCCGUCUGAGGAUGAGUCUGCGUCCGAUUAGGUUGUUGUUGGGGUAACGGCCCACCAAGCCAUUGAUCGGUACGGGUUGUGGGAGCAAGAGCCCGGAGAUGGAUUCUGAGACAUGAAUCCAGGCCCUACGGGGCGCAGCAGGCGCGAAAACUUUACAAUGCGAGCAAUCGUGAUAAGGAAACCCUGAGUGCCUGUCAAUGCAGGCUGUUCUGGUGUUUAGUCCGCACCAGGAGAAAGGGCGGGGCAAGACCGGUGCCAGCCGCCGCGGUAAUACCGGCUGCUCGAGUGAUAGCCACUUUUACUGGGCUUAAAGCGUUCGUAGCUUGGUCGUUAAGUCUCUGGGGAAAUCUUCUGGCUUAACCAGAAGGCGUCUCAGAGAAACUGGCGACCUUGGGACCGGGAGAGGUAAGACGUACUUCGGGGGUAGGAGUGAAAUCUUGUAAUCCCCGAGGGACGACCGAUGGCGAAGGCAUCUUACCAGAACGGCUCCGACAGUGAGGGACGAAAGCUGGGGGAGCAAACCGGAUUAGAUACCCGGGUAGUCCCAGCCGUAAACGAUGUGCGUUAGGUGUGUCAGUGACCACGAGUCACUGAGGUGCCGAAGGGAAACCGUGAAACGCACCGCCUGGGAAGUACGGUCGCAAGGCUGAAACUUAAAGGAAUU